Molecule: ribosomal RNA, 460 nt
Filed under: Bacilli bacterium oral taxon C43
Lineage: Bacteria; Bacillati; Bacillota; Bacilli
Description: bacterial SSU rRNA
Rfam family: Bacterial small subunit ribosomal RNA
Source: RNAcentral
GACGAACGCUGGCGGCGUGCCUAAUACAUGCAAGUCGAGCGGAGUUUUUAAAAGCUUGCUUUUAAAAACUCAGCGGCGGACGGGUGAGUAACACGUGGGCAACCUGCCCUGUAGACUGGGAUAACUUCGGGAAACCGAAGCUAAUACCGGAUAAUCAUAGAAGUUGCAUAGCUUCUAUGUAAAAGUUGGGUUUACCUAACACUACAGGAUGGGCCCGCGUCGCAUUAGCUAGUUGGUAAGGUAACGGCUUACCAAGGCGACGAUGCGUAGCCGACCUGAGAGGGUGAUCGGCCACACUGGGACUGAGACACGGCCCAGACUCCUACGGGAGGCAGCAGUAGGGAAUCUUCCGCAAUGGACGAAAGUCUGACGGAGCAACGCCGCGUGAGCGAUGAAGGCCUUCGGGUCGUAAAGCUCUGUUGUUAGGGAAGAACAAGUACCAUUCAAAUAGGGUGGUACC